RNAcentral lists this ribosomal RNA (1487 nucleotides) under uncultured Salimesophilobacter sp. Its description in RNAcentral is "bacterial SSU rRNA". It matches the Rfam family "Bacterial small subunit ribosomal RNA". The record is from RNAcentral. Lineage: Bacteria; Bacillati; Bacillota; Clostridia; Eubacteriales; Clostridiaceae.
GAGUUUGAUCCUGGCUCAGGAUGAACGCUGGCGGCGUGCUUAACACAUGCAAGUCGAGCGGACAGAUUUAGUGAAUCCCUUCGGGGUGAAACUAAUGAAGUUAGCGGCGGACGGGUGAGUAACGCGUGGGCAACCUGCCCUGUGCAGGGGGAUAACAUGGCGAAAGCCAUGCUAAUACCCCAUAAGACUAAAAUGUCGCAUGGCAAAUUAGUCAAAGAUUUAUCGGCACAGGAUGGGCCCGCGUCUGAUUAGCUAGUUGGUGGGGUAAAAGCCUACCAAGGCGACGAUCAGUAGCCGACCUGAGAGGGUGAUCGGCCACACUGGAACUGAGACACGGUCCAGACUCCUACGGGAGGCAGCAGUGGGGAAUAUUGCACAAUGGGGGAAACCCUGAUGCAGCAACGCCGCGUGAGCGAAGAAGGCCUUCGGGUCGUAAAGCUCUGUCCUAAGGGAAGACAAACGACGGUACCUUAGAAGGAAGCCCCGGCUAACUACGUGCCAGCAGCCGCGGUAAUACGUAGGGGGCAAGCGUUAUCCGGAAUCACUGGGCGUAAAGGGUGCGUAGGCGGCUAAGUAAGCCAGGGGUGAAAGGCUACGGCUCAACCGUAGUAAGCCUUUGGAACUGCUUAGCUUGAGCGCAGGAGAGGAGAGUGGAAUUCCUAGUGUAGCGGUGAAAUGCGUAGAUAUUAGGAGGAACACCAGUGGCGAAGGCGACUCUCUGGACUGCAACUGACGCUGAGGCACGAAAGCGUGGGGAGCGAACAGGAUUAGAUACCCUGGUAGUCCACGCCCUAAACGAUGAAUGUUAGUCGUCGGGUAGCUAGUCUAUUCGGUGAUGCAGCUAACGCAUUAAACAUUCCGCCUGGGGAGUACGGUCGCAAGAUUAAAACUCAAAGGAAUAGACGGGGACCCGCACAAGUGGUGGAGCAUGUGGUUUAAUUCGAAGAUACGCGAAGAACCUUACCUAGCCUUGACAUAUUUAAGAACACUUUAGAGAUAGAGUGGUGCCUUCGGGAGCUUUUAUACAGGUGCUGCACGGCUGUCGUCAGCUCGUGUCGUGAGAUGUUGGGUUAAGUCCCGCAACGAGCGCAACCCUCGUCACUAGUUACUAACGGUUCGGCCGAGGACUCUAGUGAGACUGCCUUCGCAAGGAGGAGGAAGGUGAGGACGACGUCAAGUCAUCAUGGCCCUUACGGCUAGGGCAACACACGUGCUACAAUGGCCAGGACAAUGAGAAGCGAUACCGCGAGGUGGAGCAAAUCUAUAAACCUGGUCUCAGUUCGGAUAGCAGUCUGCAACUCGACUGCUUGAAGCUGGAAUCACUAGUAAUCGUAGAUCAGCUAUGCUACGGUGAAUACGUUCCCGGGUCUUGUACUCACCGCCCGUCACACCAUGGGAGUUGAUUUCACCCGAAGCGGGGAAGCUAAACUGGCUACCCUCCACGGUGGAAUCAGCGACUGGGGUGAAGUCGUAACAAGGUAACCGUA